CCUACGGGCGGCAGCAGUGGGGAAUAUUGCGCAAUGGGCGAAAGCCUGACGCAGCGACGCCGCGUGAGGGAUGAAGGUCUUCGGAUCGUAAACCUCUGUCAGCAGGGAAGAACGGUCACUGUGCUAAUCAUCAGUGAAUUGACGGUACCUGCAAAGGAAGCACCGGCUAACUCCGUGCCAGCAGCCGCGGUAAUACGGAGGGUGCGGGCGUUAAUCGGAAUUACUGGGCGUAAAGCGCUCGUAGGCGGUAGGUCAAGGCAAGGGUGAAAUCCCCGGGCUCAACGUUGGAACUGCCUUUGAAACUGGCAAACUUGAGUGUGUGAGAGGAUAGUGGAAUUCCAGGUGUAGGAGUGAAAUCCGUAGAUAUCUGGAGGAACAUCAGUGGCGAAGGCGACUAUCUGGCACAUAACUGACGCUGAGGAGCGAAAGCGUGGGUAGCAAACAGGAUUAGAUACCCCUGUAGUC
RNAcentral lists this ribosomal RNA (465 nucleotides) under uncultured bacterium. RNAcentral's name for it is "partial 16S ribosomal RNA". It matches the Rfam family "Bacterial small subunit ribosomal RNA", at positions 338 to 795 of the family's 1533-position model. The record is from RNAcentral.